UGGGGUAUCGCCAAGCGGUAAGGUUUUGAUCCUGGCAUUCCCAGGUUCGAAUCCUGGUACCCAGCCA
Molecule: transfer RNA, 67 nt
Filed under: Providencia rettgeri
Lineage: Bacteria; Pseudomonadati; Pseudomonadota; Gammaproteobacteria; Enterobacterales; Morganellaceae
Description: tRNA-OTHER
Source: RNAcentral